GAGGACGCUCGGCAGUGUGACGUUUCUUGCCUCGCUCGAAGGCAGGUCUCGAGUUUUUUUGAAUGGAUUAUGUGACAGUUGGAGGAUCGCGCUAAGCUGUGUUCCCUUGUGGGGAUACUGAGGGAGGCCUCACGGGAGUAGAGGCCCAGAAUGCUCCCCGGGUUUCUUCUGAAGUUCCCGCACGGGGUUCGGGGCUUCAGACUGCAUUAGGAGAGCAACUGGAGCAGAGCAACACAAAGAAUAACGCCCUUGACCUAGGUCGUCCAAGACUGAGGCGAGGCCGAGAACAGGAGGACCAUCGCCUUCACGUUCGCGCUCAGGAGACUGACCGAAAUUUCGCCCCGCUCUUCGAGCGCUCUCUCGGCCGCUCUUGAGAAUGGAGAGAUCCACCAGGGAGCUGUUCCUCAACUUCACAGUGGUC
RNAcentral lists this long non-coding RNA (421 nucleotides) under Ornithorhynchus anatinus (platypus). RNAcentral's name for it is "lncRNA (ENSOANG00000038050.1)". Lineage: Eukaryota; Metazoa; Chordata; Mammalia; Monotremata; Ornithorhynchidae. The record is from RNAcentral.